GCCCACCUUGCUCGCAGGUGCCCUUGCUGACCUGGGUGAUGGCCUUCUCCCCGCGGCUCUCGGCCCUCUGGCUGGCGGCGCGCAGCUGGCAGCCGCUCGGGUAGCGGCUCUUGCACACGCACACGCCGCUUACACCCGGACCGCCGGCUGCUGCCCCGGCUUUACCCUUCCGCCUCUUGCGGCUCUUCACGCACUCCAUGCCCGGCGCGCAGUACCCCCUGCCGGCGCCGCCACCCCCGCACGGCUCGCCCUCGCCGCGGGCGCACAUAGGGCAGCCCAGCGGGGGCAGGGGCGGGCAGGAGGCCGGCUCGCAGGGGCCGCAGGUGUCCGAAGAGGAGGAAGAGGAGAGGGG
RNAcentral lists this long non-coding RNA (352 nucleotides) under Homo sapiens (human). RNAcentral's name for it is "HSALNT0319788". The record is from RNAcentral. Lineage: Eukaryota; Metazoa; Chordata; Mammalia; Primates; Hominidae.